GAGCUUUAAUUAAUUAUUUCAUUACAAAAAAAAAACAAUAUUCUCAUAAGAAAUAAUCUCAUGUAAUUGAAAUAAUAAUUUAGGUUGGGGCGACCUCGGAAAAAAAAUAAUCUCCCGAGAAAAAUUAUAUCAAGACGUACAUGUCAAAAUUAUUUCAUCAGUAUAUUGAUCCGUAUUAACGAUCAACGAAACAAGUUACCCUAGGGAUAACAGCGCAAUCCUAUUUGAGAGUUCCUAUCGAAAAUUAGGGUUUAC
This 255-nucleotide ribosomal RNA is filed under the name Lasiurus xanthinus (western yellow bat). Its description in RNAcentral is "Dasypterus xanthinus (western yellow bat) partial large subunit ribosomal RNA". The record is from RNAcentral. Lineage: Eukaryota; Metazoa; Chordata; Mammalia; Chiroptera; Vespertilionidae.